UGACUUAUUUUCAGUAUGGAAAGCUUAAG
This 29-nucleotide non-coding RNA is filed under the name Mus musculus (house mouse). The record is from RNAcentral. Lineage: Eukaryota; Metazoa; Chordata; Mammalia; Rodentia; Muridae.